AACUUCGUGCCAGCAGCCGCGUAAUACGUAGGUGGCAAGCUUUGUCCGGAUUUAUUGGGCGUAAAGGAGCCCAGGCGGUUUCUUAAGUCUGAUGUGAAAGCCCCCGGUUCAACCGGGGAGGGUCAUUGGAAACUGGGAGACUUGAGUGCAGAAGAGGAGAGUGAAUUCCAUGGGAGCGGUGAAAUGCGUAGAUAUAUGGAGGAACACCAGUGGCGAAGGCGGCUCUCUGGUCUGUAACUGACGCUGAGGCUCGAAAGCGUGGGGAGCGAACAGGAUUAGAUACCCUGGUAGUCCACGCCGUAAACGAUGAGUGCUAAGUGUGGGAGGGUUUCCGCCCUCCAGUGCUGCAGCAAACGCAUUAAGCACUCCGCCUGGGGAGUACGCCCGCAAGGUUGAAACUCAAAGGAAUUGACGGGGGCCCGCACAAGCGGUGGAGCAUGUGGUUUAUUUCGAAGCAACGCGAAGAACCUUCCCAGGUCUUGACAUCCUUUGACCACUCUAGAGAUAGAGCUUCCCCUUGGGGGGCAAAUUGCCAGUUGGUGCAUGGUGGUCGUCAGCUCGUGUCGUGAGAUGUUGGGUUAAGUCCCGCAACGAGCGCAACCCUUAUUGUUAGUUGCCAUCAUUUAGUUGGGCACUCUAGCGAGACUGCCGGGGACAAACCGGAGGAAGGUGGGGAGGACGUCAAAUCAUCAUGCCCCUUAUGACCUGGGCUACACACGUGCUACAAUGGGAAGUACAACGAGUUGGGAAGUCGGGAGGCUAAGCUAAUUUCUUAAAGCUUCUCUCAGUUCGGAUUGUAGGCUGCAACUGGCCUACAUGAAGCCGGAAUCGCUGGUAAUCGCGGAUCAGC
This 850-nucleotide ribosomal RNA is filed under the name Enterococcus sp. RNAcentral describes it as "bacterial SSU rRNA". It matches the Rfam family "Bacterial small subunit ribosomal RNA", at positions 499 to 1353 of the family's 1533-position model. The record is from RNAcentral. Lineage: Bacteria; Bacillati; Bacillota; Bacilli; Lactobacillales; Enterococcaceae.